RNAcentral lists this ribosomal RNA (468 nucleotides) under uncultured bacterium. RNAcentral's name for it is "partial 16S ribosomal RNA". It matches the Rfam family "Bacterial small subunit ribosomal RNA", at positions 28 to 507 of the family's 1533-position model. The record is from RNAcentral.
GACGAACGCUGGCGGCGUGCUUAACAAAUGCGAGUCGAACGGAAAGGCCCUGCUUUUGUGGGGUGCUCGAGUGGCGAACGGGUGAGUAACACGUGAGUAACCUGCCCUUGACUUUGGGAUAACUUCAGGAAACUGGGGCUAAUACCGGAUAGGAGCUCCUGCUGCAUGGUGGGGGUUGGAAAGUUUCGGCGGUUGGGGAUGGACUCGCGGCUUAUCAGCUUGUUGGUGGGGUAGUGGCUUACCAAGGCUUUGACGGGUAGCCGGCCUGAGAGGGUGACCGGCCACAUUGGGACUGAGAUACGGCCCAGACUCCUACGGGAGGCAGCAGUGGGGAAUAUUGCACAAUGGGCGGAAGCCUGAUGCAGCAACGCCGCGUGCGGGAUGACGGCCUUCGGGUUGUAAACCGCUUUCGCCUGUGACGAAGCGUGAGUGACGGUAAUGGGUAAAGAAGCACCGGCUAACUACGUG